AGAGUUUGAUCCUGGCUCAGAACGAACGCUGGCGGCGCGCCUAACACAUGCAAGUCGAGCGGUCGGGCUUCGGCCCGGCAGCGGCGGACGGGUGAGUAACGCGUGGGAACCUGCCCUGGAGCCCGGAAUAGCAGCGGGAAACUGCUGGUAAGACCGGAUACGCCCCUUUGGGGGGAAAGACCUGUCGCUCCGGGAUGGGCCCGCGUCCGAUUAGCUUGUUGGUGGGGUAACGGCCCACCAAGGCAUCGAUCGGUAGCCGGUCUGAGAGGAUGAUCGGCCACACUGGGACUGAGACACGGCCCAGACUCCUACGGGAGGCAGCAGUGGGGAAUCUUGGACAAUGGGGGCAACCCUGAUCCAGCGACGCCGCGUGGGUGAUGAAGGCCUUCGGGUUGUAAAGCCCUUUUCCCGGGGGCGAUGAUGACGGUACCCGGGGAACAAGCACCGGCUAACUCCGUGCCAGCAGCCGCGGUAAUUC
RNAcentral lists this ribosomal RNA (478 nucleotides) under uncultured bacterium. RNAcentral describes it as "bacterial SSU rRNA". It matches the Rfam family "Bacterial small subunit ribosomal RNA", at positions 8 to 526 of the family's 1533-position model. The record is from RNAcentral.